GGAGGGAUCGCAUAGUGGCCUAGUGCGCACGCUUGGAAAGCGUGUAUCCGCGCAAGUGGAUCGAGGGUUCGAAUCCCUCUCCCUCCGCCA
Molecule: transfer RNA, 90 nt
Filed under: bacterium
Lineage: Bacteria
Description: tRNA-Ser
Rfam family: tRNA
About the family: Transfer RNA (tRNA) molecules are approximately 80 nucleotides in length.
Source: RNAcentral